This 334-nucleotide ribosomal RNA is filed under the name uncultured bacterium. RNAcentral describes it as "bacterial SSU rRNA". It matches the Rfam family "Bacterial small subunit ribosomal RNA", at positions 568 to 899 of the family's 1533-position model. The record is from RNAcentral.
CACGUAGGCGGGCCGUCUUGCGUCCUGUGAAAUCCCCCGGCCUAACCGGGGAAUGGCAGGGCGAACGGGCGGCCUUGAGGCAGGUAGAGGUGUGGGGAACUCUUGGUGGAGCGGUGGAAUGCGUAGAUAUCAAGAGGAACGCCGGAGACGAAGGUGCCGCACUGGGCCUGUCCUGACGCUGAGGUGCGAAAGCCAGGGGAGCAAACGGGGAUUAGAUACCCCGGUAGUCCUGGCCCUAAACGAUGUCCGCUAGGUCGGUGGUUCUCUGACGGAUCACUGGCCGAAACAAAAGCGAUAAGUGGACCGCCUGGGGAGUACGGUCGCAAGGCUAAAA